RNAcentral lists this ribosomal RNA (253 nucleotides) under uncultured bacterium. RNAcentral describes it as "partial 16S ribosomal RNA". It matches the Rfam family "Bacterial small subunit ribosomal RNA", at positions 524 to 776 of the family's 1533-position model. The record is from RNAcentral.
GACAGAGGGUGCGAACGUUGUUCGGAAUUACUGGGCGUAAAGCGCAUGUAGGCGGCAGCGCAAGUCGGGCGUGAAAUCCCACGGCUCAACCGUGGAAGUGCACUCGAAACUGCGCAGCUAGAGUCCUGGAGAGGAAGGUGGAAUGCUUGGUGUAGAGGUGAAAUUCGUAGAUAUCAAGCGGAACACCGGUGGCGAAGGCGGCCUUCUGGACAGUGACUGACGCUGAGAUGCGAUAGCGUGGGGAUCAAACAGG